RNAcentral lists this ribosomal RNA (788 nucleotides) under Micrococcineae bacterium GUDS1284. Its description in RNAcentral is "bacterial SSU rRNA". It matches the Rfam family "Bacterial small subunit ribosomal RNA", at positions 54 to 853 of the family's 1533-position model. The record is from RNAcentral. Lineage: Bacteria; Bacillati; Actinomycetota; Actinomycetes; Micrococcales.
CAUGCAGUCGAACGGUGAUGGUCAGCUUGCUGACCGGAUCAGUGGCGAACGGGUGAGUAACACGUGAGCAACCUGCCCUUCACUCUGGGAUAAGCCUUGGAAACGGGGUCUAAUACUGGAUACGAGACGUACCGGCAUCGGUAGCGUCUGGAAAGAUUUAUCGGUGGGGGAUGGGCUCGCGGCCUAUCAGCUUGUUGGUGGGGUGAUGGCCUACCAAGGCGACGACGGGUAGCCGGCCUGAGAGGGCGACCGGCCACACUGGGACUGAGACACGGCCCAGACUCCUACGGGAGGCAGCAGUGGGGAAUAUUGCACAAUGGGCGCAAGCCUGAUGCAGCGACGCCGCGUGAGGGAUGACGGCCUUCGGGUUGUAAACCUCUUUCAGCAGGGAAGAAGCGCAAGUGACGGUACCUGCAGAAGAAGCGCCGGCUAACUACGUGCCAGCAGCCGCGGUAAUACGUAGGGCGCAAGCGUUGUCCGGAAUUAUUGGGCGUAAAGAGCUCGUAGGCGGUUUGUCGCGUCUGCUGUGAAAACCUCAGGCUCAACCUGGGGCUUGCAGUGGGUACGGGCAGACUAGAGUGCGGUAGGGGUGACUGGAAUUCCUGGUGUAGCGGUGGAAUGCGCAGAUAUCAGGAGGAACACCGAUGGCGAAGGCAGGUCACUGGGCCGCAACUGACGCUGAGGAGCGAAAGCAUGGGGAGCGAACAGGAUUAGAUACCCUGGUAGUCCAUGCCGUAAACGUUGGGCACUAGGUGUGGGGUCCAUUCCACGGAUUCCGUGCCGCAGCA